GUGGUCAUUUCAGCAGCACACGUACUAAAACUGGAACAAUACAGGGAAGACUAGUGUGGCUCCUGUGCACAGAUGAGAUACAGAUUUAUGAAGCAUCCCAUUACAGAUUUUC
This 112-nucleotide small nuclear RNA is filed under the name Cercocebus atys (sooty mangabey). Lineage: Eukaryota; Metazoa; Chordata; Mammalia; Primates; Cercopithecidae. The record is from RNAcentral.